GUGCCAGCAGCCGCGGUAAUACGUAGGGCGCAAGCGUUGUCCGGGAAUUAUUGGGCGUAAAGAGCUCGUAGGCGGUUUGUCGCGUCUGGUGUGAAAACUCAAGGCUCAACCUUGAGCUUGCAUCGGGUACGGGCAGACUAGAGUGCGGUAGGGGAGACUGGAAUUCCUGGUGUAGCGGUGGAAUGCGCAGAUAUCAGGAGGAACACCGAUGGCGAAGGCAGGUCUCUGGGCCGCAACUGACGCUGAGGAGCGAAAGCAUGGGGAGCGAACAGGAUUAGAUACCCUGGUAGUCC
RNAcentral lists this ribosomal RNA (293 nucleotides) under uncultured microorganism. Its description in RNAcentral is "partial 16S ribosomal RNA". It matches the Rfam family "Bacterial small subunit ribosomal RNA", at positions 505 to 796 of the family's 1533-position model. The record is from RNAcentral.